AUACUUACCUGGCAGGGGAGAUACCAUGAUCACGAAGGUGGUUUUCCCAGGGCGAGGCUUAUCCAUUGCACUCCGGAUGUGCUGACUCCUGCGAUUUCCCCAAAUGUGGGAAACUCGACUGCAUAAUUUGUGGUAGUGGGGGACUGCGUUCGUGCUCUCCCCUA
This 164-nucleotide small nuclear RNA is filed under the name Castor canadensis (American beaver). RNAcentral describes it as "U1 spliceosomal RNA (ENSCCNG00000030124.1)". It matches the Rfam family "U1 spliceosomal RNA". From Rfam's summary of the family: U1 is a small nuclear RNA (snRNA) component of the spliceosome (involved in pre-mRNA splicing). The record is from Rfam by way of RNAcentral. Lineage: Eukaryota; Metazoa; Chordata; Mammalia; Rodentia; Castoridae.